RNAcentral lists this long non-coding RNA (364 nucleotides) under Physcomitrium patens. Its description in RNAcentral is "long non-coding RNA (PPAT_LNC001010)". The record is from RNAcentral. Lineage: Eukaryota; Viridiplantae; Streptophyta; Bryopsida; Funariales; Funariaceae.
AAAUCUUCAUGCUUUUCAAUCUAGCUAUUUGAUCAAAUCCAAAUUCACAACACGCAUCUUACACAAGUACACCCACAAAUCUAAAAAAUUUCACUUAUAGAUCUAUUAUCAAACUCUUGAAAUUGUCCAAAACGUCAAUCCUAUUUUAUUUUUCUAAAACCAAAGUCACCAAAAACAACAUCAACUUUGCAAAGCUCUUACAAAAUCAUUACUCACUUAAUUCUCCAAAAUCAAUGCCUAUAAAAAUUCUAUCAAGUCUUUUCUCUAAUCUCAUUCUCCAAUCAACAAAAGAACCUUCAAAUUGUCAUCAAGACUCAAUUUUGUGCCUUGGAGUAUGUUUCCAAUCCAAGUUCAUAACCAGCCC